Hemiscyllium ocellatum (epaulette shark) is the source of this 2082-nucleotide long non-coding RNA. RefSeq lists it as uncharacterized. The transcript is spliced from 7 exons. NCBI's taxonomy places the organism in Eukaryota, Metazoa, Chordata, Chondrichthyes, Orectolobiformes, Hemiscylliidae. The record is from RefSeq and is a predicted model, not a curated record.
GAGUCGCUGUAAUUAAAGCUCGGGAAGUUAUGGAGCGAAAGGAUACGGUAAAAAAGAAAUAAACAAGGAAACGGGAGAAAAACUGUGUUGCUAUGAGCUGAAAGGUUUUAUAAAAAAACUGUGCACGUCGGAAAACACAAAUGUGAACGUCCCAGUCCCGUGUUUGCAGUAAAUGGGGAUUUGCCUCAGCGGCUGCAGGCCUGAGUGAGCGCCGCCAUCUUUAUUCGGGUCAACGAUUCACUGGACACGUGCGGAGCCGCCAUCUUUGUAGGGGGCAAGGUGCAGCCAGGCGCAUGUGCAGCCUCUCUCUGGUACAGAGUCAUUGUGAUGACAGCAGCCAAUCCUGCUCUGAUUCACCUCUGGGCUCCCUCAGGACCACUUUGUCAAUGUCUAGCUUCAUCAGUCUCCAACCAUGGGGAUCCCAGUGAUUAAUGCCAAAGCCCUGUUGCCUGGGGAGAGGGUGAUGUUUGACUUUCUUGUACAGCUGCAGUUUGUGUGGUGAAGGUGCUCCCACAAUGUGGUUGGAUCCCAGUGAUUAAUGCCAAAGCCCCAUUGCCUGGGGAGAGGGUGAUGUUUGACUUCCUUGUACAGCUGCAGUUUGUGUGGUGAAGGUGCUCCCACAAUGUGGUUGGGUGGACAUUCAGAUGGUAACCUUAGUCAUUGUAACACCAAACUCUGACAGAAUUACUCAAUUCAUCAGGACCUGGAUAUUUGCAUUUAGUUCAGAAGCAGCCGCAGGGCAUUGAACACAGACUGAAUGACUCGGUGACGCUUGGAUCAGGUCAGAUCAAAUUCUCAAGCAAACAGAUGGCUGGGGAUAUUCAGUAGCAACGUGAAGAGAGAGAGGAACAAUUCACAUUUCAAGUGACCCUUCCUCAGAAACGGCCUGUUCUGAAGGAACUUUCCCGCAGAAAUCAUUGGAUUGAAAGCUUCUGGCAACAAAUGGCCACAAACCGAUCAAAGGUGAAAGUGACGGUGAACCAGACAGAGCAGUCAGUGGCUGCAUAAAGCAGGACGGCGUGGAUAUUACACACGGGGACGGAGUACAGGAAAUCAAACUGUUCCCGAUAAACAAUGGGAAUGUGUCUCAGGAUCAGGUCGAGGAUAAUGACCAGGAGAUCCGCCGCUGCCAUGGCCCCCAGGGAAUAUAAACAUAUCUUCAAAUCGACCGAGACCAUUUUCUGCUGAGGGUACGGCUCUGUGUACGACAGCAGCAAUGAUGCACCGACAUGGAACAGGGAAUGUGAUGGAGACAUAGUUUGGACAAUGUACAAGGAGACCUCACAUGGUCCAGUUUGGGAGAGAAUGACAUUAUUGUGUGAUUCAACUCAGAGAGGAAGACAAUGUCAUCUGCCGGAGAAGAAACGGCCUAUUGCGCACUCUCUCCAUCAUUAUUCCUCAUCACAGUAACGUGUACGAGCUAAAACAAAACUCUACUGUUAUUGUUACCAUUCUUAUUUUUAUAGAAUCCGUGCAGUGCGGAAACGAGCCCUUCGGCCCAACAAGUCCAUACUAACCCUCCAAAGAGUAACCUUCCCAUGCCCUCACAGUUACCACUGACUAGUGCACCUAAAGUAGAAAUCUCUGAACACUAUGGGCUAUUUGACCAAUCCACUUGAAUUAUACAGCUUUGGAACGGGAGCAUCCAUGAGAAGCUCACACAGACAAGGGGAGAAGAUGCAAAUUCCACGCAGAUAGUCGCCCAAGGCUGGAAUUGAACUCAUGCUCCUGAUGCUGUGAUGGAACAGUGCGAACUACUGAGCCACUGUGCUAACCUGGAACCUCCUGCCAGCCUAAUGCAAAGGGAAUUCAGCAAAAUCCAACUCUCCCAGGAUAAAAUCCCAUUGCUAGCAGCUGUGUGAGUAGAAUAUCUUCAGAAGCAGAAUCACAUUUUGGACAAUCUCUCAAUUUUUCAAUUUGUCAUGAGUUCCAAUAAUAUCUGGACAAGGUUCUUUCAACGUGAAGUUGCAGAGAUUUUGUUUAGUGAGUGUGUGUGCGCGUGUGCGUAUCAAUGUUUUUUCAUCAUAGUUGGAGUAACAUUGCUCUGGAUCAUAAACGUGCUAUUUGAGCAGAUUAAAGAAA